UACGAAGGGGGCUAGCGUUGCUCGGAAUCACUGGGCGUAACGGGUGCGUAGGCGGGUCUUUAAGUCCGGGGUGAAAUCCUGGAGCUCAACUCCAGAACUGCCUUUGAUACUGAGGAUCUUGAGUUCGGGAGAGGUGAGUGGAACUGCGAGUGUAGAGGUGAAAUUCGUAGAUAUUCGCAAGAACACCAGUGGCGAAGGCGGCUCACUGGCCCGAUACUGACGCUGAGGCACGAAAGCGUGGGGAGCAAACAGG
RNAcentral lists this ribosomal RNA (253 nucleotides) under uncultured bacterium. Its description in RNAcentral is "partial 16S ribosomal RNA". It matches the Rfam family "Bacterial small subunit ribosomal RNA", at positions 524 to 776 of the family's 1533-position model. The record is from RNAcentral.